GAUGAACGCUGGCGGCGUGCCUAAUACAUGCAAGUCGAGCGAACAGACGAGGAGCUUGCUCCUCUGACGUUAGCGGCGGACGGGUGAGUAACACGUGGAUAACCUACCUAUAAGACUGGGAUAACUUCGGGAAACCGGAGCUAAUACCGGAUAAUAUAUUGAACCGCAUGGUUCAAUGGUGAAAGACGGUUUUGCUGUCACUUAUAGAUGGAUCCGCGCCGCAUUAGCUAGUUGGUAAGGUAACGGCUUACCAAGGCAACGAUGCGUAGCCGACCUGAGAGGGUGAUCGGCCACACUGGAACUGAGACACGGUCCAGACUCCUACGGGAGGCAGCAGUAGGGAAUCUUCCGCAAUGGGCGAAAGCCUGACGGAGCAACGCCGCGUGAGUGAUGAAGGUCUUCGGAUCGUAAAACUCUGUUAUUAGGGAAGAACAAAUGUGUAAGUAACUAUGCACGUCUUGACGGUACCUAAUCAGAAAGCCACGGCUAACUACGUG
Molecule: ribosomal RNA, 497 nt
Filed under: uncultured bacterium
Lineage: Bacteria
Description: partial 16S ribosomal RNA
Rfam family: Bacterial small subunit ribosomal RNA
Source: RNAcentral